UGUACACCAUCUGCACCACCAUAUGUAGCUUCUUCGGCUCAUUGAAUGCCUUCGUGCUUUGCACCUCCUCCGCAUCAGCUCCUCCUUACAAUGUACCAGCCAUAGCAUGUCUGCAUACCCAUCUAUCCACAUAUCCAACGGCAUACCCUCCUCCAACACAUUUUCCCCAUGCUCCAUUAGCCCAUCCUCCUCCGUACUCUCCCCUUUGGCUGAUCCUCCGCCUUCAUAUCCACCACCUCCUGGCGCUCUAGGACCUUAGUAUUAUCCUACACCACCUUGGCACAUACCUGGAGGGCUAGGAGAUGGAGGAUAUGGAGGCGGAGGAUAAACCAAAGGGGGAGGAUACACCGGAAGAAGAUAGGUUGAUGGAGGGUGGGAAAAAUGAGGGUAUGCCACUGGAUAUGGUGGAUAGAUGGGUACACUGUCACAGGACAUGGUAAGGCAUGUGCAUAGUAAGGAGAAGUCGAUUUGGGAGGAGGCGCGGAGUAUGAAGGCACCUGAAGAUCCGAAGUUUGUCCUAAACAUGAACAAUUGUUUCUUAUGAUGCGUGUCUUUUCUUUGGGAUAAAUCUUGGAAAAGGUUUUGGCUCCUCUGCCAAUCGGAUGAGCGGUGUUUAUGGUUCACUUGACCACCAUUUCCAUCACCGGAAUCGGGAUCAACCCUGCGAGAAGUAUCGGUGCUGCUGUUUUCUACAACAAGGAUAAGGCCUGAGAUGAUCAGGACCAUUCAAUGGAUCAGCCAUUGCAGCUUUCUACCACCACUUCAUAUUGAGGGCAGGAGCAGUUAAAGCCCUUAGAUCAUUCAGGAGUAACCCUUAAUCUAUUUUCAUAAUUUAUUAAUGCCCUCCUUCUAUUUGUUCUCUGCUGAGGGAAAACAAAAAGACGAGAGAGAGAGAGAGAGAGAGAGAGAGAGAUUUGGAAGGAGAUUGUGCUAAAGUCACACGGUGGUGGAGGAUUUGCUUUUGUUAUGCAUGUUUUCAAAAGUUCAUGGAAUGUGGAAUCUGUAGAGAGAUGGAAAAUCCUUGUGUUAUGAUGAGGUGGGGAACAUGUAUCUGUGUCUUUGUUCUUUGUAUGCUGUGCACUACAUUCAUAUGUGAUUUCGCUCCUGUUUCGUGGUUAUCUUCUGUUGGUCCUCU
Long non-coding RNA from Syzygium oleosum, 1135 nucleotides. RefSeq lists it as uncharacterized. The record is from RefSeq and is a predicted model, not a curated record. Lineage: Eukaryota; Viridiplantae; Streptophyta; Magnoliopsida; Myrtales; Myrtaceae. The transcript is spliced from 3 exons.